Hemicordylus capensis (graceful crag lizard) is the source of this 638-nucleotide long non-coding RNA. RefSeq lists it as uncharacterized. The record is from RefSeq and is a predicted model, not a curated record. The transcript is spliced from 4 exons. NCBI's taxonomy places the organism in Eukaryota, Metazoa, Chordata, Lepidosauria, Squamata, Cordylidae.
GAUCAUCAGGGGAUUUGGUGCAGUGUGUUAACAGUAUGCUGAUGACACCCAAAACUAUAUUUCCAUGUCAACUUCAUCAAGAAAUGGCUUAACUUCUCUAAAUGGGCUGGAUGAGGGAGAACAAACUGAGGCUGAAUCCAAGCAAGACAGAGGUGUGGUGUGAUGUCUUCCCAACUUUGUGGAUGUUGCACAGUUGAUGACAAGCAAAUUUUGAGCCAAGUGUUUCAGAAGAUUGUGAAAAUCUCAGAAGAGGCAUUCCACCACAAGGAUCCUAUGCAGGUCCAUUCCAAUCUGAUUUCCAAUCCAAGUUUGGGACUGAAAUGGCCUUGGGCACCCUGGCGGAUAAGCAUACUAAGAGACUGAUGAGUGAAGUGAACCUGUUGAUCCUCCUGGACCUCUCAGCAGCUUUUAUUACCAACAGCCAUGAUAUUGUUCUGGGCCUCCUAUCAAGAAGGGAUUAUGGAAGCACUAUUUUGCAGUGACUCUAAUAUUUCCUGUAGGAUAGGUGUUAGAAGGUGGUGUUGGGGGUCCUCGGUUCUACCUUGUGUCCUGGGAGACACUUGCAGAUAUGUGGGAUAAAGACCCGGGAGGAGUCACUGAAAGAAAAUACCUUCAUUGCUAGAGUAUAUCAACAAGGA